CUGGCAGUCGAGAAUCUUUCGCAUGGGCGAAAGCCUGACGAAGCGACGCUGUGUGGACGAUGAAGGCCUUCGGGUUGUAAAGUCCUUUCGCGUGGGAACAAGAAAGGUUACCUAAUAGAUAGCCAAUUUGAGGGUACCACAGUAAAGAAGCACCGGCUAACUC
This 163-nucleotide ribosomal RNA is filed under the name uncultured Chlamydiales bacterium. RNAcentral's name for it is "partial 16S ribosomal RNA". It matches the Rfam family "Bacterial small subunit ribosomal RNA", at positions 348 to 503 of the family's 1533-position model. The record is from RNAcentral. Lineage: Bacteria; Pseudomonadati; Chlamydiota; Chlamydiia; Chlamydiales.